This 573-nucleotide ribosomal RNA is filed under the name Trichoderma sp. MP033. RNAcentral's name for it is "eukaryotic LSU rRNA". The stretch from base 199 to 352 matches the Rfam family "5.8S ribosomal RNA". Lineage: Eukaryota; Fungi; Ascomycota; Sordariomycetes; Hypocreales; Hypocreaceae. The record is from RNAcentral.
UGUGAACGUUACCAAUCUGUUGCCUCGGCGGGAUUCUCUUGCCCCGGGCGCGUCGCAGCCCCGGAUCCCAUGGCGCCCGCCGGAGGACCAACUCCAAACUCUUUUUUUCUCUCCGUCGCGGCUCCCGUCGCGGCUCUGUUUUAUUUUUGCUCUGAGCCUUUCUCGGCGACCCUAGCGGGCGUCUCGAAAAUGAAUCAAAACUUUCAACAACGGAUCUCUUGGUUCUGGCAUCGAUGAAGAACGCAGCGAAAUGCGAUAAGUAAUGUGAAUUGCAGAAUUCAGUGAAUCAUCGAAUCUUUGAACGCACAUUGCGCCCGCCAGUAUUCUGGCGGGCAUGCCUGUCCGAGCGUCAUUUCAACCCUCGAACCCCUCCGGGGGGUCGGCGUUGGGGAUCGGCCCCUCACCGGGCCGCCCCCGAAAUACAGUGGCGGUCUCGCCGCAGCCUCUCCUGCGCAGUAGUUUGCACACUCGCACCGGGAGCGCGGCGCGGCCACAGCCGUAAAACACCCCAAACUUCUGAAAUGUUGACCUCGGAUCAGGUAGGAAUACCCGCUGAACUUAAGCAUAUCAAUA